RNAcentral lists this unclassified non-coding RNA (242 nucleotides) under uncultured archaeon. Its description in RNAcentral is "16S-23S ribosomal RNA intergenic spacer". The stretch from base 63 to 131 matches the Rfam family "tRNA". The record is from RNAcentral.
AAUGAAUUAUUUCAGGAAUGCGGUUGCUGGACAAACUGUAAAAUUGCCGGUGUCAACAUGAAGGGCUCAUCGCUCAAUGGAAGAGCACCCGUCAGAAGGCGGGGAUAAGGGUUCGAAUCCUUUUGGGUCUUGUUUCGAUGCACCUGGAGACGCAAAUCCCCAGGGAAGGGCUGAAGGUCACUGACCUGAAGAUGCCGUGUAUAGGUUUGCACUCAGGACGUUAAAUGGGUUUGACGGAGCAU